UGGAAAUCUCUAUAAAGUUUUUAGAGUGACAUAAUAAAAGGGCCCCUAUGACUACAGAAUAGAGAAUAAAUUGAGAGUGAGUUGGGGCAAAAGCAGGUAGACUAAUUAGGAAGCUAGUGCACUAGUUUAGGCAAGAGAUGAUGGGGUUCGGUGCAGACUAAUAGCAAGGGGUAAAGGAGACAUGGUCUAAUUGAAAAUGUAGCUAAUGAUUUGCUAAUGGGUGGGAUAUGAAGUCUCUGUUCUCCACCAUGCCCACUGUUGCAAAGGUUGCAGCCAAUCCCAGGCUUUUCAGCAAUUGAAGUCCAGACAGAUACAGGGAUGUUGAUCAGGUAUGGAGCUCAUUGGAGACUCUGAGAGGAGAGUUGGCAACAUCCUGCUGAGCAACAGAAUGGAAAGGAGGAGAAUUGACCAGAAAAUUUUAUUUAUUUGAGAGAGAGAGAUUGAGAGCCAACACAAGCAGUGGGAUGGGCAAGGGGAGAUGGAGAACCAGGCUCCCCACUGAGCAGGGAGCCCGACGUGUGGCUCAAUCUCAGGACCCUAGGAUCAUGACCUGAGCCAAAGGCAGAUGCUCAACUGCUGAGCCACCCAGGUUAAUCCUUCAGCUUCCCCAUGCCAACAACUUCUGAUCAGAGCACACCUACAGUCUUUCCUUUUUUCUACUAUAAAGCUUUCCCAUUCCUCUGCCUGCUUUGAGUCUCAAAAAGCAAAUAAAGGUCACUGACUCUC
This is a long non-coding RNA of Canis lupus familiaris (dog), 726 nucleotides long. RefSeq lists it as uncharacterized. The transcript has 5 exons. NCBI's taxonomy places the organism in Eukaryota, Metazoa, Chordata, Mammalia, Carnivora, Canidae. The record is from RefSeq and is a predicted model, not a curated record.